This 274-nucleotide ribosomal RNA is filed under the name uncultured bacterium. RNAcentral's name for it is "partial 16S ribosomal RNA". It matches the Rfam family "Bacterial small subunit ribosomal RNA", at positions 523 to 796 of the family's 1533-position model. The record is from RNAcentral.
AUACGGAGGGUGCAAGCGUUAUCCGGAAUCAUGGGGUUUAAAGGGUCCGUAGGCGGACUAUUAAGUCAGAGGUGAAAUCCCACAGCUCAACUGUGGAACUGCCUUUGAUACUGGUAGUCUUGAGUUAUAUGGAAGUAGAUAGAAUGUGUAGUGUAGCGGUGAAAUGCAUAGAUAUUACACAGAAUACCGAUUGCGAAGGCAGUCUACUACGUAUAUACUGACGCUAAGGGACGAAAGCGUGGGGAGCGAACAGGAUUAGAAACCCUUGUAGUCC